GGGGGCGAAAAGGGUUCGACUCGUGUAAGGAAACCAAAGUUGCAUACGGAGGUUGCCAGGUGGCCUCCUAAAAAACCUGGCGCUUACCACAAACGCAAACGAAACGUUUGCACUGGCUGCGUAAUUGCGGCCACGUCAUCCGGGUUUCUUCCUGCGGGACCCGGAAUGGCGCCGGUUAGCAGGAUAGGGACCGGCUCUUGCUUCGGGGGCCGGGACCGAAUCCUUUCGAAGAUAGCCAAGGAGGAAUCCCCUCGGACGGAGUCCCCUGCGGCGAACCCUCAAAAGUCCGGGUAAGUAUGUAGACGCUUUGGUGGACCUACUCGAGGACGCGGGUUCGAUUCCCGCCGCCUCCAAAA
RNAcentral lists this transfer-messenger RNA (356 nucleotides) under Candidatus Aminicenantota bacterium. RNAcentral describes it as "Candidatus Aminicenantes bacterium transfer-messenger RNA". It matches the Rfam family "transfer-messenger RNA". From Rfam's summary of the family: Bacterial tmRNA, also known as 10Sa RNA or SsrA, is named for its dual tRNA and mRNA-like properties. Its role is to liberate the mRNA from a stalled ribosome. The record is from RNAcentral. Lineage: Bacteria; Candidatus Aminicenantota.